Molecule: long non-coding RNA, 3544 nt
Filed under: Sus scrofa (pig)
Lineage: Eukaryota; Metazoa; Chordata; Mammalia; Artiodactyla; Suidae
Description: lncRNA (ENSSSCG00000053079.1)
Source: RNAcentral
GCAAUGCCAGAUCUGAGCCACAUCUGCGACCUACACUGCAGCCCUCGGCAAUACCAGUUCUUAACCCACUGAGCCAAACCAGGGAUCUAACCUGUAUGCUCACGGGCACUAUGUCAGUUUCUUAACCUGCUGAGCCACAGUGGGAACUCUGACAUUUCUUUACCUUGUUAAAAUUAGGUGGUUUUAAGACAUCUUUCCAAUGUCACAGGAAAGUGAAAGGUGCAAUAUUUUCUCACAACACCCAAACAACUUAAUAUCCUCAUCUGCCAACUUCCAAUUUCUCUAAGGGCAUUUUAAUUUUUUCAUUUUUUUGCCAUUUUUUUUGGGGGGUGCCGCACCUGUGGCAUAUGGAGGUUCCCAAGCUAGGGGUCUAACCAGAACUAUAGCUGCCGCCUUACAUCACAGCCACAGUAACGCCAGAUCCAAGCCGAGUCUGCAACCUACACCACAGCUCACCGAAACGCCAGAUCCUUAACCCACUGAGCGAGGCCAGGGAUUGAACCUGCAACCUCAUGGUUCCUAGUCAGAUUUGUUUCCGCUGUGCCACGACGGGAACUCCUCUAAGGGCAUUUUAUUCAGGCUAAGAAAAUACAGGAUUGAAAGGAACAUAUCCCUCUCAAAUUCUCCAUUUUUUUCACCAAACAAAAAAGUAUGGUACCAGAAAAGAAUGGUCUAAGUCUGCUACAGAGAGAUGCAGAUACUCUUGCUAGAUUUAGUGCUGUGGGGGCGUCUAAGCCACAGAGAACCUUCACCACCAAUGUUCAUUCACAUACAAAGCCGAGAAUGAGCUGCACCAGGAGGACUAAGCCCAGGCAGAAGAGCGCUGACCUGGAGUGCAGGGAAGCCAGCCAAGAAGACUCCUAGUGCCCAAGGGCUUGAGAACCAACCAGCCAAGGCUGCAUGAACCCCGCCUCAGAAAGCUGCUGCCCAGGCCCCCAGACAGAGCAAAUCACAGCAGCUCUCACUCCCGAAGCACCAACCCUGAGCCAGUCCUCUGCCCUGGAAUCACUUUCCUGCAAGCACUUCACUGCAUUGAAACCUCACCACCACCCAUGAUGCAUUUAUGAAAUGGAAACUGAGGCUCAGAGGGUGAGAUAACAGAGUUGAACCCCUGCCUGGCUCACUCCACAGCCUGCCCUGUGAACCACUACAGCCAACGAAUUUAUCAAUGAGCUGAGAGCAGGCAAGGUCUCAAUUUGCAGAUAUGAAAACUAUUAUGCUCUUACCCAGAAAAAGGCUUCAAGCCUUAGAGACACUUCCUUUUCCUUCCAGUUGUCUUUUUCUUUCUCAUUACAUCGCCUCAGAGGGUGCCUGAAGCAAACGGAAGAAGUAAAAUGGACAGAGUGGCAUGACUCCGUACCCUUUACCAUGAGGCAUUCCUCUUGGGGAAAUAUAUGCCCCCCAAGGGACUCCCAUGGAAAAGCAAUCUGCUUAAAGAUGUUGGCAGCACGAUUAUUUAUGCCAGGACCGCAGAUACAGACGGCCAACUUUAAAUUACACAUGAAUUUUCAGGGGCACAAAGCCUUGGUGCCCCUGACCGCCGGCUUGUUCAAGGGUAAAUUUACUACACGGGCUGUUCAAAGUGAGCAGGAUGUGGUUAGUCCAUUUAUGUGGAAUGUAAAAUGACAAUAUCGCUAGAUAUUUUAAAUGCAGUAGUAUUUGCUCAACACUUAAAACCCGUAAAACAAUCCCACACAGAUACAAUCUGAGAAGCAGAAUCAGAGAGGUGCAUGAGAACUCAAUCUGCCAUAGUCUGGGGAUUAGUGAUUGCAAAGCUGCUGGAGAAACACAAACUGUAAAAAGUCAAAACAGAGACUGACAAUAGAUUGCUAUGUGAUCAGAGAAACCUGUAUUCAUGUCAACAUCACGUCCUCUGACCACUGUAAUUAAUUUCUUAAUUUCUGUUAUUAAAAUACCUGUUUGCUCUGUGGCUUCUUGAGGACGGGCUUUCCAAUAAAAUCAGCAGGAUCCCUGGGGGAGAGUAAUGAGGUAUGAGGUUCUGCAUCAGUGCUGCUCAGGACACAUUCCUUUAAUCCUUUUUGUUUAUUCUGUUCCCUGCAUUUAUGAACUUUCCAAAUCCCUUCUACUUAAACCAUAGCACUAAACCACUAAGAUGAAAGACAUGAGGAAUUUUCUCAAGAAUGUACUUAGUUUUAUGUCUGAUUGAUGUGCUUACAGUUUCAUACAUUAGUAAUUUGCUGAAUGAACCUGUACCAAAUAAUAUGCCUGAAAACUCAUCUUUUAAAAUGUGUUUUGUCAUAUUUUAAAAUAAUGAUGGGAGGCUUCCAUUACCUCCAGGGUAAGAACAGGUUUUCCUGGCCCACUGCAGACUUUGCAUGUGUUAAGGGGUUUCUGAAGCCAAGGGACAGAAGCCAUGGUUUGCCUAGGGGUUUAAAUUAUGUUUUAAACAGUAUUAGAAAGAGGAGUUUAAUGAAAAGUGUUUCAAUUAACUGCUGGUCAGUUAACAAGAUGAGACAUUCUCCAGGACACCCUGGCAAUCAAUGCAACUCCAAAAGCUGGUGGCCGUCAGAAGCACAAUAUGCACUGACCCAUCACCUGGCCUCCAAACAGGGUGAUGUCUGGGAAACAGACAGCACCAAUCUGGGUCUCAGCCAUUCCAGGAACCUGUUUCAUGGGCCACUGCUCUGUGCCAUUCGCUGUCAAUCAUUCCUUCCACCCUCCUUCAAAAUACCAGGAUUUUUAGGACCUUUCUGUCCCCAAUACCACCACGACCAUGAUACCCCCUAAGCUGGACAGAACUCAGACGGGCCACCUCAGGACAUACCUGGCUUCUAUAACAGGUAAAAUCACAGAAAAGGUAGCCUCUAUCCUUCUUUUUUAAAGUCGAUUUUAAUUAAAUUAAUCUUAUAGUCUUUCUCCUUUGAUCUGUCACACAUUUAACUUGGGAGUCAAGACACAACAACCUGAGGAUGAGUUAUUUUUAGAAGUAAUCAGCACUACAUUUUAGAAUUCCCUGGAAUUUAAUAAAACUCCAGAUUAAUCAUUUCUACAUAAUAUUGUCAGCCGACAAUAUUAAUUACCUUACAUGUGCAAUCUGGUUUGAAGUCCUUCCAAAGCUUCCACAUUUGCUACUGAACCCUCACCACCCCCACAGCAAGUAAAUUUCUUUAGUCAGCCACAUUCACAAACACAUUUUACAAAACUAACCUCUCCAAUAUGAGCUCUGAUGCGAGAAUAAUACAAUUAAGCCAGUGUCAUCAGCAAAAAGUCUGUCCUAUAUUGCAUAACUCCAUUCAACUCAACUGGUGGCUACCAAGUGCCCAGUAUACACUAGGCAACAAGCUCUCGAGUCAGGCUUCCUUAGGGGGAAACAAAAACUGACAAAACCAAAAAUUUAACAGCUUUAAGUAUGUUUCUCAAUAUUGAACAAACAAACAAAAAAACCUAGUUCAUGAAAUCCACAAGUCCAGGUACCAGUGAUUUGAAAGAUUUCACUGCACCUUUCCUUUCCUUAAGCCUAAGUGACGUCUGGUUUCACAGAAGCAUCUCCAGAAGCGGCAUUAACUUUUCCUCUGCCAUUAGG